GACGAACGCUGGCGGCGUGCUUAACACAUGCAAGUCGAACGGAAAGGCCCUGCUUGCAGGGUGCGCGAGUGGCGAACGGGGGUGUAACACGUGUGUGUUCCGCCCCCCACUUCUGGAGAAGACUGCGGAAAUGUGGGGAAUACCGGAGAGGAGCCAUCUUUAGGGUGGGGGGGGGAAGGUUUUUUCGGUUUGGGAUGGGCUGGCGGCCUUGCUGUUUGUUGGUGGGGUAAUGGCCUACCAAGGCGGCGUCGGGUAGCCGGCCUGGGAGGGUGGACGGCCACAAUGGGACUGAGAUAACGCCCAGACCCCUACGGGGGGCCGGAGUGGGGGAUAUUGGACAAAGGGGGGAAGCCUGAUGCCGGGACCGCGCGUGGGGGAUGAAGGCCUUCGGGUUGUAAACUCCUUUCGCUAGGGACGAAGCUUUUUGUGACGGUAACUAGAUAAGAAGCACCGGCUAACUACGUG
RNAcentral lists this ribosomal RNA (465 nucleotides) under uncultured bacterium. Its description in RNAcentral is "partial 16S ribosomal RNA". It matches the Rfam family "Bacterial small subunit ribosomal RNA", at positions 28 to 507 of the family's 1533-position model. The record is from RNAcentral.